AUUGAACGCUGGCGGCAGGCCUAACACAUGCCAGUCGAACGGUAACAGGAAACAGCUUGCUGUUUCGCUGACGAGUGGCGGACGGGUGAGUAAUGUCUGGGAAACUGCCUGAUGGAGGGGGAUAACUACUGGAAACGGUAGCUAAUACCGCAUAACGUCGCAAGACCAAAGAGGGGGACCUUCGGGCCCCUUGCCAUCGGAUGUGCCCAGAUGGGAUUAGCUAGUAGGUGGGGUAACGGCUCACCUAGGCGACGAUCCCUAGCUGGUCUGAGAGGAUGACCAGCCACACUGGAACUGAGACACGGUCCAGACUCCUACGGGAGGCAGCAGUGGGGAAUAUUGCACAAUGGGCGCAAGCCUGAUGCAGCCAUGCCGCGUGUAUGAAGAAGGCCUUCGGGUUGUAAAGUACUUUCAGCGGGGAUGAAGGGAGUAAAGUUAAUACCUUUGCUCAUUGACGUUACCCGCAGAAGAAGCACCGGCUAACUCCGUG
Molecule: ribosomal RNA, 490 nt
Filed under: uncultured bacterium
Lineage: Bacteria
Description: partial 16S ribosomal RNA
Rfam family: Bacterial small subunit ribosomal RNA
Source: RNAcentral